CCUACGGGGGGCAGCAGUGGGGAAUCUUCCGCAAUGGGCGAAAGCCUGACGGAGCAACGCCGCGUGAUCGAAUGAAGGCCUUCGGGUUGUAAAGAUCUGUUGACAGGGACGAAUAAGCAAUGCGAAGAGUUUUGUGUAUUACGGUACCUGUUUAGAAAGCUCCGGCUAACUACGUGCCAGCAGCCGCGGUAAUACGUAGGGAGCAAGCGUUGUCCGGGAUGACUUGGCGUAAGGGUCGCGUAGGUGGGCGCUUAGGUCAGGUGUGAAAACGCCGGGCUCAGCCUGGGGACUGCACUUGAAACUGGGUGUCUUGAGGGCAGGAGAGGAAAGUGGAAUUGCUAGUGUAGCGGUGAAAUGCGUAGAUAUUAGGAGGAACACCAGUGGCGAAGGCGACUUUCUGGACUGUGCCUGACGCUGAGGCGCGAAAGCGUGGGUAGCGAACGGGAUUAGAUACCCUUGUAGUC
Molecule: ribosomal RNA, 464 nt
Filed under: uncultured bacterium
Lineage: Bacteria
Description: partial 16S ribosomal RNA
Rfam family: Bacterial small subunit ribosomal RNA
Source: RNAcentral